This 2480-nucleotide long non-coding RNA is filed under the name Salmo salar (Atlantic salmon). RNAcentral's name for it is "lncRNA (ENSSSAG00000091021.1)". The record is from RNAcentral. Lineage: Eukaryota; Metazoa; Chordata; Actinopteri; Salmoniformes; Salmonidae.
GUAGGCAUUUUGAAACCGUUCAGAGAUUACUUCAAGUAAUGGCACUCUUUGGGAUCUUUGCCAGGGAACAUUUAAAUACAUUAUCAAUGGCAAAUAGUGUUUUCUAUGCUUGAUUUCACUUAAUAUUUUUGGGUGUUGCGCUCAUUGCAGUCAGAAAACAUGUUGGCCGAUCAAAACCCUUGCCGGUGAUGUUGCUUUCUCUCCCCAAGUCGUAUGAGAAAAUAACGGAAAACUGACCCAAGAUCAGUACUGUACAUAUGCAACUUCAACCCAAUGUAAUGCGGAGCGCGUUCCAGCUCGUCAACACAAUCGGCUGCAGGGGAGAUUCUGUGUAAUUUGACCUACAACACAAAUGCGCAUUAUGACUUCAACAAAGAAGGCAGCUUGGAACGUACCCGAUCCUCCCAUGCGAUCAUUCUCUUUCCCGCUCCAAAUAAAGACCCUUCACACCUACCACCCUUCUCUUCAGACCACUCAGACCCACACCUACCACCCUUCUCUUCAGACCACUCAGACCCACACCUACCACCCUUCUCUUCAGACCCACACCUACCACCCUUCUCUUCAGACCCACACAUACCACCCUUCUCUUCAGACCACUCAGACCUACACCUACCACCCUUCUCUUCAGACCACUCAGACCCACACCUACCACCCUUCUAUUCAGACCAUUCAGACCCACACCUACCACCCUUCCAUUCAGACCCACACCUACCACCCUUCUCUUCAGACCACUCAGACCCACACCUACCACCCUUCUCUUCAGACCACUCAGACCCACACCCACCACCCUUCUCUUCAGACCACUCAGACCCACGGCUGACACCUUUAGUCUCUCUCUCUCUUUCUUUCUAUCCAUCCUCUUGAUACAGAUCUCUUGAUCCAUCCUCUGGCUGCAUUUUAAAAUGGCUCCUGGCUCCAGCCGUAAGCUGUGUCCUAGUUGUAACACAUCAAUAAGAGGAGCAUCAAAGAAGAGCCAGUUCUGUGGUGCAACAAUCCAGCUAAAGGUCAAGUUAGAGGCCCAAAAAAGGAAGGCUACAGAUGAAUGGGCAAAUAAGACAAUGAAACAUGGAAGAUAUGCAACCUUGGUUAAUGCAGCAAACAAGCUGGUACAUAGGUUCCACAAGGUAGGAGGGAACCCCCUGCUACUCCUCAGCAAGAGGAAAAAGGAUAACAUUUUGUCGUCGACUGCACUGUGUCCUCACAGUGGUAUGAUGAGUCAGACCUCAAUGGCAGCAAUCCAAAGGUUGUAUGAGGCAAUUGUGAAAGUGGCAAUCAACACCCAUACCCCCACACUAUAACCUUCCAACCCUCCUCCUGUUGCUGCCCAAGAACUGUCUGAUACAGUUGCCCCCCAGGAGACCAGCUACACCCCCAUCCUCAACCAGGUUGAACACCCGAUAUCCCCCACCACCCAGGAUGCCAGCUACACCCCCAUCCUCAACCAGGUUGAACCCCCGAUAUCCCCCACCACCCAGGAUACCAGCUACACCCCCAUCCUCAACCAGGUUGAACCCCCGAUAUCCCCCACCACCCAGGAUACCAGCUACACCCCCAUCCUCAACCAGGUUGAACCCCCGAUAUCCCCCACCACCCAGGAUACCAGCUACACCCCCAUCCUCAACCAGGUUGAACCCCCGAUAUCCCCCACCACCCAGGAGACCAGCUACACCCACACCAAACCAAAGAAGACAGAGAGAAAGUCCUGUCGCCCUCAAAAAACCCUCCAACUCGCUGAGCAUGACAGUUCACCCCAUCCAAUCCCAUUCAACCCCAUCCAACCCCAUCCAACCGUAUCCUACCCCAUUCUACCCCAUCCAACCGUUUCCAACCCCAUCAAACCCCAUUCUACCCCAUCCAAGCCCGACCAAGGAAGAGGAAAUAUGACUACAUGCAAAAAGAGUGUCCAGUGCAUCCGGGGCAAAUGAUUUUCCCUAUUCUCAAGAUUUUUGCCAAUAGAACUUCAAAGGGGUGGCAAGAAAUGGGACGAUGACUGGAUCAAGGCCGAGGACCGCGUUUCUCCAGUUUAACCUACUUUAUGCACGAAUGUAUUCCUCACUCUCCCUUCACAUGUAUCACUGUCAAUCAUAAAUGGUUGGCCAAAUUCACCAUGAUUUACCAUUGAAACAUUCAUGGAGCGUCAGCAUGCCAACCAUUUCAUCUCAAUCAGUUUCAUGAGAAUAUGCAUUUAGAUAUUCUUCAUAUAAAGUGAGCUACAAACAUAUUGCAACAGUGACACAUUUUUUGUUGUUUUGGAUCUGUACUCCAGAACGUUGUAUUUUAAAUUAUACAAUGACUAUGAGGUUAAAGUGCAGACUAUCAGCUUUAAUUUGAGUGUAUUUUCAUCCAUAUCUGGUGAACCGUUUAGAAAUUACAGCACAUUGUGUACAUAUCCACCCCGUUUUGGGGGACCAAAAGUCUUGUGAUAAAUUCACUUAUGUGUAUUACAGUAGUCAGAAGUUUAGUAUUUUUGUCUUUUA